UCGAUCUGCCAGAGCAAGACUUGUUUCGGGAGGGAGCCUCCGAUUUUGAGUCGCUGCAAGACGGACUCUCUUGGCUCCAGAGCGCCGAAAAAUUGGAAACUGCACGACAAGGCCAUCAGGAAAAACAGCGGGCCUGUUGCAAGAGGCACGUGCGAGCCUCUUGGAAUUGUGCCACAGGGUGCCACACCAUUGUCGAGCCGAAACCAACAUGCCUCACCUAACGGAUGAAUUAACCGUCCAGCUCGAUCUGCCAGAGCAUAGACUUGGGUUUUGGGAGGGAGCCUCCGAUUUUGAGUCGCUGCAAGACGGGACUCUCUUGCUCCAGAGCGCCGAAAAAAUUGGAAACUGCACGACAAGGCCAUCAGGACAAAACAGCGGGCCUUUGCAGAGCACAUGCAGCCUCUUGGAAUUCCUCAACGUCAUGUGCCACAGGGUGCCACACCAUUGUCGAGCCGAAACCAACAUGCCUCACCUAACGGAUGAAUUAAUCGUCCAGCUCGAUCUGCCAGAGCAUAGACUGUUUCGGGAGGAGCCUCGAUUUGAGUCGCUGCAAGACGGGACUCUCUUGGCUCCAGAGCGCCGAAAAAUUGGAAACUGCACGCAAGGUCAUCAGGAAAAAACAGCGGGCCUUUGCAAGAGGCACAUGCGCCUCUUGGGAAUUCCUCAACGUCAUGUGCCACAGGGUGCCACACCAUUGUCGAGCCGAAACCAACAUGCCUCACCUAGUGAAAAACUCACCGGUGGAACUUCUGUGUUGUGACUUCUGUCACACUCAAAGUGGAACUUCCUGGUGAACCUGUUUGGUGUGGAGCUUAUGAGAUUUCUAGUUUCACUAUGUUGCCUUUAUAAUUAUGUUUUUCUACCAUUUCCUUGUUUAAAUUUUCUUAUCUUUGAAAGACUGUUAAAAUUUAUAAACGGACAAAAUUACUGUCAUUCUAGUGUAAAUCUAAAUUUUCUACCAUUUCCUUGUUUAAAUUAAAUUGUUUGUAUUUUUCUUAGACUUAGAUUUUUUCCUUAUCUUUGACAGACUUAUCUUAUCUUUCUUUAUCUAGCAAGGAAUGACUUAUCUUUCCUUAUCUUUAUCAGAUCAUUUUUGAAGUCGCAAAAGGUCAAAUUCUCAACGUAGAAGCGGAAGAUGAGAAAUUUAAGAUUUGGCAUAAACGCUAUGGACAUAUCGGAAGCUCCUACCGUGAGAAGCUAAUUAACAACAAAAUGGUCGUGGGUAUUGAUGCUGUCAAAGUCAACAAAACCGUAUUUUGCGAAGCUUGCGUAAAUGGAAAGCAGACGAGAUUAAAUUUCAAAACACGGACUCCGAGCACGCGCUUGAUCCAAAUAAUUCACUCCGAUGUGUGUGGAAAAAUAUCUCCGCCGACGUACGACGGUCAGCAAUAUUUUGUUUCAUUCAUCGAUGGGUACUCUAAUUUCGUGACUAUCAAUGUCAUGAGGAAAUAAAGUGAGGUAUUCGAGUGUUUUAAAGAUUAUGUCAACUUAGUUCAAUCCCGUUUUGCUACCAAAAUAUCGACGCUAAGGAUCGUUAACGGGGGAGAAUACACGUCGGAUGAGUUUCUGAAUUAUUGUAAAACAAACGGUAUUUUUGUUGACUUUACAGUAAGAUACACGCCGGAACAGAACGGAAAGUCGGAAGUUUUUAACAAAUUAAUAUGUGACAAAGCCCGUA
This 1678-nucleotide long non-coding RNA is filed under the name Bemisia tabaci. RNAcentral's name for it is "lncRNA ENSSSA2NGG002257". The record is from RNAcentral. Lineage: Eukaryota; Metazoa; Arthropoda; Insecta; Hemiptera; Aleyrodidae.